GUAGCGUCGUAGUGUUAACGUUUCCAAAAAUGCUUUUGUGUCAAAAGGUUUCCCUCAGAAAGACCCGGUUCAAAGUGCGGACAGCUUCCUUCGCAUUCAAAAUCCAUUGGCGAAUAUAGGACAGUAGACAUAUUCAAAUGAAAAAAAAAAAAAACUCCAGUGGAGAAAUAAAGUACGCGCUGGAACUUGAAUAACUGAUGAUGAGGAAACGAUGCCAUAUAGAAAACAAUAUAUCUGUGACGGAUUAUGAAGAACCUGCUUAACGUAAGAUUGGAGUUCACCUUGGCAUGAUAUUCAUAUGAAAAAAGAAGCCCUAAGAUGUCGCACAUUAGAGCUCCGAUGCAAGAUAAAGAAAGAGAAGUAUCAGAAGUAGAGUUAAAUCGAUUCACCUUUCGUUUGAUUAAGCUUUGUUGCCGGCCUGAAUGGAAUGAUUCCAGUCGCAAGAUUGAUUUUGAUGUACAUUGAGAAGACUAUUAUCUAUCAGAAAAAAAGUUUUUUUUCUGCAUUGGAAGUAGAACAUGCUAUCUUGGCAUACAGAAUAAUAAUACCUUAUUAUUUUAAAAAUGAGGAUAGUUCCAAUUUCUGAAAGUUAAGAUGUUUUACAAUGAGGCUUAAGUAGUUUUGUCAAGUUGUCAACGAAUUUGAUCUUAAAAGACUAUACUGAAUAUACUUAGACUUAAUCAUAUUUUCGAGUCCCUGUGCUCUAUUGAUUUUUAUCAAUGAAUCAAUUUUAUUAACAAGAAAAUUAGCUUUUUAUCAAAAUUGCUUUCAAAGAUUUCAAAAUUCAAAUUUAAUCAGACAACUGAAAUAUUUAUAUAGUUCUAAUAACUUUAGGUGUUAUUUGACUUUUGUAAUCUUCAGUCUACUUUUGUUUACUAAGAGCCUCAUUUUUAAAUCUCACUCUCAUCAAUGUAAAGGUAUCGCCAUUAAUGAAACUUCAUCGAUGUAAUUAUUACUAGGUUGUGUAAUUUCAAUUGUAGUCGUGUUAGAUUCAU
Molecule: long non-coding RNA, 995 nt
Organism: Macrobrachium nipponense
Lineage: Eukaryota; Metazoa; Arthropoda; Malacostraca; Decapoda; Palaemonidae
Exons: 4
Source: RefSeq, a predicted model, not a curated record